Long non-coding RNA from Syngnathus acus (greater pipefish), 75 nucleotides. RefSeq lists it as uncharacterized. Lineage: Eukaryota; Metazoa; Chordata; Actinopteri; Syngnathiformes; Syngnathidae. The record is from RefSeq and is a predicted model, not a curated record. The transcript has 3 exons.
AUUUUUUAGCAAAGUCCCUUCAAGAGCCUUGUGUGAGACGCAAGAUCGCUGGCCUGGAUUAACUUGGAUUUACUC